ACUUGAGCUAAUACCGUAUAAUGACUUCGGUCCAAAGAUUUAUCGCCUGAGGAUGAGCCCGCGUCGGAUUAGCUAGUUGGUGAGGUAAAAGCUCACCAAGGCGACGAUCCGUAGCUGGUCUGAGAGGAUGAUCAGCCACACUGGGACUGAGACACGGCCCAGACUCCUACGGGAGGCAGCAGUGGGGAAUAUUGGACAAUGGGCGAAAGCCUGAUCCAGCAAUGCCGCGUGAGUGAUGAAGGCCUUAGGGUUGUAAAGCUCUUUUACCCGGGAUGAUAAUGACAGUACCGGGAGAAUAAGCCCCGGCUAACUCUGUGCCAGCAGCCGCGGUAAUACAGAGGUCUCAAGCGUUGUUCGGAUUCAUUGGGCGUAAAGGGUGCGUAGGUGGCGCUGUAAGUCGGGUGUGAAAUUUCGGAGCUUAACUCCGAAACUGCAUUCGAUACUGCGGUGCUUGAGGACUGGAGAGGAGACUGGAAUUCAUGGUGUAGCAGUGAAAUGCGUAGAGAUCAUGAGGAAGACCAGUGGCGAAGGCGGGUCUCUGGACAGUUCCUGACACUGAGGCACGAAGGCCAGGGGAGCAAACGGGAUUAGAUACCCCGGUAGUCCUGGCCGUAA
Molecule: ribosomal RNA, 615 nt
Filed under: uncultured bacterium
Lineage: Bacteria
Description: bacterial SSU rRNA
Rfam family: Bacterial small subunit ribosomal RNA
Source: RNAcentral